This is a ribosomal RNA of Ochotona princeps (American pika), 153 nucleotides long. It matches the Rfam family "5.8S ribosomal RNA". Rfam says of the family: 5.8S ribosomal RNA (5.8S rRNA) is a component of the large subunit of the eukaryotic ribosome. It is transcribed by RNA polymerase I as part of the 45S precursor that also contains 18S and 28S rRNA. The record is from Ensembl. Lineage: Eukaryota; Metazoa; Chordata; Mammalia; Lagomorpha; Ochotonidae.
GACUCUUAGCGGUGGAUCACUCUGCUCGUGCGUCGAUGAAGAACGCAACUAGCUGCGAGAAUUAAUGUGAAUUGCAGGACACAUUGAUCAUCGACACUUCGAACACGCUUGCGGCCCCGGGUUCUUCCCGGAGCUAUGCCUGUCUGAGCGUCG